UACAGAGGUCUCAAGCGUUGUUCGGAUUCAUUGGGCGUAAAGGGUGCGUAGGCGGCGUGGUAAGUCGGGGGUGGAAUCUCGGAGCUUAACUCCGAAACUGCAUUCGAUACUGCCGUGCUUGAGGACUGGAGAGGAGACUGGAAUUUACGGUGUAGCGGUGAAAUGCGUAGAUAUCGUAAGGAAGACCAGUGGCGAAGGCGGGUCUCUGGACAGUUCCUGACGCUGAGGCACGAAGGCCAGGGGAGCAAACAGG
Molecule: ribosomal RNA, 253 nt
Filed under: uncultured bacterium
Lineage: Bacteria
Description: partial 16S ribosomal RNA
Rfam family: Bacterial small subunit ribosomal RNA
Source: RNAcentral